Small nuclear RNA from Protopterus annectens (West African lungfish), 167 nucleotides. RefSeq annotates it as U1 spliceosomal RNA. The transcript has a single exon. The record is from RefSeq and is a predicted model, not a curated record. NCBI's taxonomy places the organism in Eukaryota, Metazoa, Chordata, Ceratodontiformes, Protopteridae.
AUACAGUACCUGGCUGGGGGGAGAGACCACGAUCAAGAAGGUGGUUCUCUCAGGAUGAGGCUCCUCCAUUACACUUUGGAGUGGUUGACCCCUGUGAUUUCCCCAGAUGUGGGAAACUCAACUGUAUAAUUUAUGGUUGUGGAGGACUGUGUUUGUGUUGUCCCCUG